This is a long non-coding RNA of Haliotis rubra (blacklip abalone), 101 nucleotides long. RefSeq lists it as uncharacterized. Lineage: Eukaryota; Metazoa; Mollusca; Gastropoda; Lepetellida; Haliotidae. The record is from RefSeq and is a predicted model, not a curated record. The transcript has 3 exons.
AAAAAUAUAAAAAAUAGUAAAUAUGUUAUAAAUAUUUCGUCCUUCUUUAGCGGUGGGGGCACAUUGCCAUAUUAGUGGCAAACACGUGGGGAUGUCUAAAA